RNAcentral lists this ribosomal RNA (467 nucleotides) under uncultured bacterium. RNAcentral describes it as "partial 16S ribosomal RNA". It matches the Rfam family "Bacterial small subunit ribosomal RNA", at positions 28 to 506 of the family's 1533-position model. The record is from RNAcentral.
GACGAACGCUGGCGGCGUGCUUAACACAUGCAAGUCGAACGGAAAGGCCCUGCUUUUGUGGGGUGCUCGAGUGGCGAACGGGUGAGUAACACGUGAGUAACCUGCCCUUGACUUUGGGAUAACUUCAGGAAACUGGGGCUAAUACCGGAUAGGAGCUCCUGCUGCAUGGUGGGGGUUGGAAAGUUUCGGCGGUUGGGGAUGGACUCGCGGCUUAUCAGCUUGUUGGUGGGGUAGUGGCUUCCCAAGGCUUGGACGGGUAGCCGGCCUGAGAGGGUGACCGGCAAAAUUGGGACUGAGACACGGCCCAGGCACCUACGGGAGGCAGCAGUGGGGAAUAUUGCACAAUGGGCGGAAGCCUGAUGCAGCAACGCCGCGGGCGGGAUGACGGCCUUCGGGUUGUAAACCGCUUUCGCCUGUGACGAAGCGUGAGUGACGGUAAUGGGUAAAGAAGCACCGGCUAACUACGU